GACGAACGCUGGCGGCGUGCUUAACACAUGCAAGUCGAACGGUGAAGCGCCUUGCUUUUUGGUGGGUGGGGAGGGGUGGCGAACGGGUGGGUAACACGAGAGUAACCUGCCCCCUUCUUCUGGAUAACCGCAUGAAAGUGUGGCUAAUACGGGAUAUUCUGGGUCUGUCGCAUGAUGGGUCUGGGAAAGAUAUUGUGUCGGUUGGGGAUGGGCUCGCGGCCUAUCAGCUUGUUGGUGGGGUGAUGGCCUACCAAGGCGGUGACGUGUAGCCGGCCUGAGAGGGUCGCCGGCCCCACUGCGACUGCGACACCGCGCCGCCUCCUACGGGCGGCAGCAGUGGAGCAUAUUGCACAGUGGGCGCAAUCCUGAUGCAGCGCCGCCGCGUGAGGGAUGGACGCCUUCGGGUUGUGAACUUCUUUCGCCAGUGAAGUAGGCCUGCCUUGUUUGUGGGUGGGUUGACGGUACCUGGAUAAGAAGCGCCGGCUAACUACGUG
Molecule: ribosomal RNA, 494 nt
Filed under: uncultured bacterium
Lineage: Bacteria
Description: partial 16S ribosomal RNA
Rfam family: Bacterial small subunit ribosomal RNA
Source: RNAcentral